Molecule: long non-coding RNA, 883 nt
Organism: Phascolarctos cinereus (koala)
Lineage: Eukaryota; Metazoa; Chordata; Mammalia; Diprotodontia; Phascolarctidae
Source: RefSeq, a predicted model, not a curated record
CAUCUCACUUUAAGGAGUUUCUCUCUAUGAGGGGGGAACGGAUAUGUGUGUUUCAUCUUUGAUCUAUGAAGAACCUGUGGCGAAAACAGAGGGGAAGAAGAUGAGAAAACUGAGGCCCAGACGGAAGAAGGAUGUGUCCCAAGACCACACAGGUGAUCCAGCGCAGGAACGAGUCUCCUCCUCUGCUUCUCUUGCUCAAGCAUAGUCCCUCCCAGCCUCUCCCCUAUAUUACCACCUGUCAAAAUCCAACCCAUGGCCCGGAAAGACUGCCACCUUUUCCAUGAAGCCUUCCAUGAUGUGUCCACCGCAACCCAAUGACAUCUUUCCUUCCUCUGAAGUUGCAGAGUUCUUCGGUCAGGCCUUUGUAGCAUUCAUCUAGAAAGGCAAGCACUCUGCUCUUGGGGUGAGGAGGGAGUGACCUGGAUCUGAAUUUCACCUUCCAUACUUCACCUCUCCAGGCCUCAUUUUCACCAUCUGUGAAAUGGGGACAGGAAUACCCAUCUUCUCCACUUCCCAGGGAUGUUGGGAGGAUCAGAUCAGAUCCUGUGUAUAAAAGUGGGUUGGAAAACCUUCAAACCCUCCAUAAAUGGCAGACAAACAAUCCUUCCAAUACCUGGUGGUGGCUCUUGGCAGCCUUACCCAACAUGGCAGCAGGUCAGCAACCAUCCCAUGUGACUGGCCAGGCCCUUCCAAAUAUUUGGCAAAGAGAGUCCUCCCUAUAUGGUGGAAGGCUUCCUCAAUUUCUUCCCAUUAUUGUGAGGGUAAAAACAUAAUUGUAUUUCUAAAGAAACUAAAUGUCUUUUUAGUUUUAGCUCCUUUAUAAGACUACAUGGGGAGGACAGGGACCAUGACUCAUCCUUCUUUGUAUUCACCCCACCCCCCC